AUUAAACGCUGGCGGCAUGCCUUACACAUGCAAGUCGAACGGCAGCACGGGGGCAACCCUGGCGGCGAGUGGCGAACGGGUGAGUAAAGCAUCGGAACGUGCCCUGGAGUGGGGGGAUAACGUAGCGAAAGUUACGCUAAUACCGCAUAUCUGUGAGCAGGAAAGCAGGGGAUCGCAAGACCUUGCGCUCUGGGAGCGGCCGAUGUCGGAUUAGCUAGUUGGUGGGGUAAAGGCCUACCAAGGCGACGAUCCGUAGCGGGUCUGAGAGGAUGAUCCGCCACACUGGGACUGAGACACGGCCCAGACUCCUACGGGAGGCAGCAGUGGGGAAUUUUGGACAAUGGGCGAAAGCCUGAUCCAGCCAUGCCGCGUGAGUGAAGAAGGCCUCGG
This 390-nucleotide ribosomal RNA is filed under the name uncultured bacterium. RNAcentral's name for it is "bacterial SSU rRNA". It matches the Rfam family "Bacterial small subunit ribosomal RNA", at positions 29 to 420 of the family's 1533-position model. The record is from RNAcentral.